RNAcentral lists this ribosomal RNA (301 nucleotides) under uncultured bacterium. Its description in RNAcentral is "partial 16S ribosomal RNA". It matches the Rfam family "Bacterial small subunit ribosomal RNA", at positions 509 to 807 of the family's 1533-position model. The record is from RNAcentral.
CAGCCGCCGCGGUAAUACAGAGGAUGCAAGCGUUAUCCGGAAUGAUUGGGCGUAAAGCGUCUGUAGGUGGCUUUUCAAGUCCGCCGUCAAAUCCCAGGGCUCAACCCUGGACAGGCGGUGGAAACUACCAAGCUGGAGUACGGUAGGGGCAGAGGGAAUUUCCAGUGGAGCGGUGAAAUGCGUUGAGAUCGAAAAGAACACCAACAGCGAAAGCACUCUGCUGGGACGACACUGACACUAAGAGACGAAAGCUAGGGGAGCAAAUGGGAUUAGAUACCCCGGUAGUCCCUGUCUCUUAUAC